Molecule: ribosomal RNA, 492 nt
Filed under: uncultured bacterium
Lineage: Bacteria
Description: partial 16S ribosomal RNA
Rfam family: Bacterial small subunit ribosomal RNA
Source: RNAcentral
AGUGAACGCUGGCGGUAGGCCUAACACAUGCAAGUCGAACGGCAGCACAGUAAGAGCUUGCUCUUACGGGUGGCGAGUGGCGGACGGGUGAGGAAUACAUCGGAAUCUACUUUUUCGUGGGGGAUAACGUAGGGAAACUUACGCUAAUACCGCAUACGACCUACGGGUGAAAGCAGGGGAUCUUCGGACCUUGCGCGAUUGAAUGAGCCGAUGUCGGAUUAGCUAGUUGGCGGGGUAAAGGCCCACCAAGGCGACGAUCCGUAGCUGGUCUGAGAGGAUGAUCGGCCACACUGGAACUGAGACACGGUCCAGACUCCUACGGGAGGCAGCAGUGGGGAAUAUUGGACAAUGGGCGCAAGCCUGAUCCAGCCAUACCGCGUGGGUGAAGGAGGCCUUCGGGUUGUAAAGCCCUUUUGUUGGGAAAGAAAAGCAGCAGGUUAAUACCCCGCUGUUCUGACGGUACCCAAAGAAUAAGCACCGGCUAACUUCGUG